UUAUUAUUAAUUUAUUCUUUCUCUCUUUGCAUUUCCGUUUAGGAAGUUUUUAUUGACCUAUUUUCAAGUUCAUUAAUUCUUUCCUCAGCUGUGUUAAAUCUCCUUAUGAGCCUACCAAAGUUUGCAGGGAUCUUUGCCCUACCAGAAGACAUCAUACUGGUCCAUUGCAUUGAUGACAUUAUGCUAAUUGGACUUAAUGAGCAAGAAGUGGCAACUAAUUUAGGCUUAAUGGUCACAAAAUUAUGGAUUCUCUUAAACAUAAAAUCGAGCAUAAAUGAGCUUAUAUGUAAGUGUCCUAAAUGUGUUUAGUUGACUCAAACAGUAUUGACACAUUAACAAAAGUUAUAGGUGUAAUAUUUUGUAAAGAUGGGUGAUGAACAUAUGGAUUUUUAAUUUUCUCUUAAAAUUGGAUUUUGAAAAAGGGCUUAGAGGGAAAGCAGUUAAAGAAACCAUAAAUUACUAAUACACACACAUGUUCCUAUAUACAGCUGCAUCUCAACUCAUCCCAAUUUUCCCAUUCCUCCCACGUUAUUCUUGAGGUAAUAGUAGGCUUGGAUAGAGCUGCCCCUUUCAAAGAGGACUAACACUCAAGAACAACCUCACAGGUGACACUAUAAGCAUACCAUCAAAAAGAAAGGAGAGAACAAAACAAAUAAUACAUUUCAGACAAACAUUUCUCUUUGUUCUAAUAUAUUUGAAGAUAAGCAUUAGUGCUGAAAAAAACCCUGAGAAACAAGAGCAGAAAAAAAGCAAUACACUAGAAGAAUGUA
RNAcentral lists this long non-coding RNA (770 nucleotides) under Callithrix jacchus (white-tufted-ear marmoset). RNAcentral's name for it is "lncRNA (ENSCJAG00000083555.1)". The record is from RNAcentral. Lineage: Eukaryota; Metazoa; Chordata; Mammalia; Primates; Cebidae.